This is a long non-coding RNA of Homo sapiens (human), 259 nucleotides long. RefSeq annotates it as MYOM3 antisense RNA 1. The record is from RefSeq and is a predicted model, not a curated record. Lineage: Eukaryota; Metazoa; Chordata; Mammalia; Primates; Hominidae. The transcript has 3 exons.
CAGAACCCCUUCUGGAGCCACUAGGAUCUCGUUCAAGGCUGGUCCACCUCACACGAAUCCUACCCCAUGGGCGCUGGGAAGGGUUUUGAACAUGUUGCAGACUGGUCUCAAACUCCCAAACUCCUGAGCUCAAGCAAUCCCAGCUCAAGCUUGGUGGCUCUAAACAGUUCUGUUCAAGGGAGCUCUUCUCAGCCAGGCCUUCAUCUUUCUUCCAUGUUGGAUGCUUCCUGACCUUGAAAAUUGGACUCCAAGUUCUUUA